RNAcentral lists this ribosomal RNA (468 nucleotides) under uncultured bacterium. RNAcentral's name for it is "bacterial SSU rRNA". It matches the Rfam family "Bacterial small subunit ribosomal RNA", at positions 29 to 508 of the family's 1533-position model. The record is from RNAcentral.
ACGAACGCUGGCGGCGUGCUUACACAUGCAAGUCACGGGGGCUCCGCAAGGAGCAACCGGCGAACGGGUGCGUAACACGUGAGCAACCUGCCGAUCUGUGGGGGAUAGCCGGGCUAACGCCCGGGUAAUACCGCAUACGGUCCCUGGGGGGAGUCCCCUGGGGAGGAAACCUCCGGGGCAGAUCGAGGGGCUCGCGGCCUAUCAGCUGGUUGGUGGGGUAAUGGCCCACCAAGGCGACGACGGGUAGCUGGUCUGAGAGGAUGGCCAGCCACAUUGGGACUGAGAGACGGCCCAGACUCCUACGGGAGGCAGCAGUGGGGAAUCUUGCGCAAUGGCCGAAAGGCUGACGCAGCGACGCCGCGUGUGGGAGGACGCCUUUCGGGGUGUAAACCACUGUUGCCCGGGACGAACAGCGCUUUUCGAGGCGUCUGACGGUACCGGGUGAGGAAGCACCGGCUAACUCCGUGC